UGAGUCCCCCAGAACCACUCUUCGUUUGCCUCCGAAGUGACCUGAGGAGCGUGAACCCGUUUUGCCGUCACCCGUCGUUAACCGAGAGCGUGAAAACGCCGGUUGGGCGGAGCUGUUGUCUGAGCUUUCAGUUGGGGGCGCUCGCAGGGCCCCAGAGGGGUAGGUAGCAUGUGAUUGCUCCCUCCCUGCCUGGCACUAAAGCCCUUUCCCUGUUGUCUUGCGUGCCCAGGCCGUGCGGACUCUGCGGCUGUCUGGGAAGCAGAUGGAGACUGUCCCUUGGACGGCUUUGCGGGCCGUGCGGCAGGCAGCACCCGCUUCUGUCCCACAGAACCCUGAUCCGCCGCGCCUGAGGCCGCCCCUGUGUGCAGGGAUGAGGCCUGCUAGCAGCUUAAAGAUGAGACCACACUGGAACCCAGACGUCUGUUAUGACCACCUGCUGCUCCGUGGCGUCCUUCUCACUCCAAGAGUGCUGCCUUGAAUCUGGAGAUUGUUGGAGGAAGCCAGAGGGGAUGGAAGCACCAGCCCUUUCAUGGUGAGCUGGGUCCCAGCUGCCCUGGGGGGACCUCCUCAUGAUGAUGUCGGGGUUGAUCGUGGACGCUGGAGUGGCAUGGUGAAGGAGGACGUUGCCGUGUGAAGCAUUGCCAGACCUCCUUGCCCAGUUGCCUCAGCACAGCAUGGAAGGCCUUUUCCGUCUGUGUAAGCAGGCCCCAGGGAAAGCCCUGGCACUCUGGAAGCUUGAGGUCCAGAGCUAGAGACUUUAGCUGGUUCUGCCACUCCCCCAGCAGCUGUCACCGAGCGCUGUUGACCAGGAAGACCAGUUCCCUUCCACCUGGGCCAUGUUGUCCAGCAGCCUCCACGUCUCCCGCCUCCUCCCCCUGUAACUUUUUAGAACCAAGAGUUUUCUGCACAGUGCAUCCUUGUCCUCUUACCCACCCAAUAAAUUUUGAAACUGCC
This is a long non-coding RNA of Enhydra lutris kenyoni (northern sea otter), 954 nucleotides long. RefSeq lists it as uncharacterized. Lineage: Eukaryota; Metazoa; Chordata; Mammalia; Carnivora; Mustelidae. The record is from RefSeq and is a predicted model, not a curated record. The transcript is spliced from 3 exons.